This 497-nucleotide ribosomal RNA is filed under the name uncultured bacterium. RNAcentral's name for it is "partial 16S ribosomal RNA". It matches the Rfam family "Bacterial small subunit ribosomal RNA", at positions 28 to 507 of the family's 1533-position model. The record is from RNAcentral.
GAUGAACGCUGGCGGCGUGCCUAAUACAUGCAAGUCGAGCGAACGGACGAGAAGCUUGCUUCACUGAUGUUAGCGGCGGAAGGGAGAGUAACACGUGUAUAACCUACCUAUAAGACUGGGAUAACUUCCGGAAACCGGAGCUAAUACCGGCUAAUAUUUUGAACCGCAUGGUUCAAAAGUGAAAUUCGGUUUUCCCGUCUCGUAUAGACGAUGCCGGGCUGCAUUAGCUAGUUGGUAAGGUAAUGGCUUACCAAGGCAACGAUGCGUAGCUGACCUGAGAGGGCGAUCGGCCACACUGGAACUGAGACACGGUCCAGACUCCUACGGGAGGCAGCAGUGGGGAAUGUUGGACAAUGGGCGCAAGCCUGACGCAGCAACGCCGCGUGAGGGAAGAAGGUCUUCGGAUCGUAAACCGCUGUUAUACGGAACGAACAUAUUCGUGCGAAAAUCUGGAGAUGUUGACGGUACCUUAUGAAAAAGCAACGGCUAACUACGUG